This is a long non-coding RNA of Sapajus apella (tufted capuchin), 103 nucleotides long. RefSeq lists it as uncharacterized. NCBI's taxonomy places the organism in Eukaryota, Metazoa, Chordata, Mammalia, Primates, Cebidae. The transcript has 3 exons. The record is from RefSeq and is a predicted model, not a curated record.
CCCCCUAACCCUGUCCAUCUUCCCCCAAGGCUAACUGAGACUUCUCUCUCCAGCUUGUGGUCUCAGUGAGUCUCAGAGAGCUUCCUCAAUAAUCGAUUCUUCC